AAGCCCAUUUUCUUACUCCCACCAUUUCACACUAUGAAAAGUGAAAACAUGGGCAUGAGAUAUAAACAGAGAACUGGAAACCCUACAACGGAGCACCACCACCACAGCCUUAUCUUAUUCCACCGUCCUCUCCGUCUGAUACCUCGCAUUUGCUCUAUAAACCGAUGUUGAGGAAUAUCGAGACAAAUUUGGUCAAAAUGAUGCACGAUUGCUACAUUACAAUACAGUAGAACUGGAGUUGACAUGGAUAUUUUCAUGUCGAGUUUUGACUCUUGACGAGAAGCUGCUUGAUAAUCUGUACUUUUUUUUUCAUAAUAACAUGAUUGUGCUCUCUCGAAAAUGUGGAAGGAAACUUUAUAAUUUACAAGAAUCUUUUAGUUUUUUUGGAAUUUUUUUAACAAACAGUGUUUAUUUGCCACAAGAAGUUUAUAGAAAUCAUAUUUAUAAGUUUGCAUAUUUGUUAUAAUGAAGCUCAUUUCUUGAUUCUUUGGAUCAGUGUACAUGUUUUGGUUAACUGAGAGAUCCCUUUUUCUUAUCCUCAUCAUCAUAUGCAUAUUUCCUUUCUCCAUUGAAUCAGCAUGGACAAUUUUCAGAAUGUAUGAAGUAUCUUUUCCAUCUAUGGACUGAUAAUAGUUCUUAAUUGGUCGAGUAGGAACAACAACGAAGCACUCAUAGUAGUUCCAUACAUUGUUGUUUAAAAACCUUUUUAAAAACUAGAUCAAUUCUAAGUCAACUAUGGAUGGUGGUCUACGCAGGAUGAAUGAGAACUUUCUGCAAAACCAAGGAUGUGUAAGUUGCCUUUCAGUGAGGACUUUAUGCAGAUCAACAUUAAAUAUCUUUUAUUUAUUUAUUUAUUUAUUUAUUUAUUUAUUUUUCUUUUAAAAGCUAACAGAUCAACAUUGCACAUGACAAUUCUUUUUAUUUUCUUCAUUCUUACCAUUAUAUUUACCAAGUCCUUCACUAUGAUAAAGAAAUGAGUUAUGAAAGUUGUAAGAAAAAAGAUUGGUAUGAAGGCUUCAUAUAUUCAUUAAGG
Lactuca sativa (garden lettuce) is the source of this 1033-nucleotide non-coding RNA. Lineage: Eukaryota; Viridiplantae; Streptophyta; Magnoliopsida; Asterales; Asteraceae. The record is from RefSeq and is a predicted model, not a curated record.